UACGUAGGGUGCAAGCAUUAAUCGGAUUUAUUGGGCGUAAAGGGCGCGUAGGCGGCCGAUCAAGUCGGGGGUGAAAGCCUGUGGCUCAACCACAGAAUUGCCUUCGAUACUGGUUGGCUUGAGACCGGAAGAGGUAAGUGGAACUGCGAGUGUAGAGGUGAAAUUCGUAGAUAUUCGCAAGAACACCAGUGGCGAAGGCGGCUUACUGGUCCGGUUCUGACGCUGAGGCGCGAAAGCGUGGGGAGCAAACAGG
RNAcentral lists this ribosomal RNA (253 nucleotides) under uncultured bacterium. RNAcentral describes it as "partial 16S ribosomal RNA". It matches the Rfam family "Bacterial small subunit ribosomal RNA", at positions 524 to 776 of the family's 1533-position model. The record is from RNAcentral.